RNAcentral lists this unclassified non-coding RNA (247 nucleotides) under Hevea brasiliensis (rubber tree). Lineage: Eukaryota; Viridiplantae; Streptophyta; Magnoliopsida; Malpighiales; Euphorbiaceae. The record is from RNAcentral.
GGAUCUGCAUAAACGUUAGUUCCCCUCAAUAUGCUGGUGAUGUGGUUAACAUCACCGGUAUUCGGCAAAAAAUUUGCGAGUGAAAAAUCUGCCACCUGAAUCAAUGAUUUAUAUAAAUUAACUUGCAUCCAAAUAUCAAAUUUAUCAAAUUACAAAAAGUUUGUCAAUAUAUUAUAAAAUAUUUUGACAUUUAAAUGUUAAAAUUGUAUUUUUUACAAAAAUGUUUUACCUUUGGUUCAAAGUCAUU